RNAcentral lists this ribosomal RNA (500 nucleotides) under uncultured bacterium. RNAcentral describes it as "partial 16S ribosomal RNA". It matches the Rfam family "Bacterial small subunit ribosomal RNA", at positions 30 to 523 of the family's 1533-position model. The record is from RNAcentral.
AUUGAACGCUGGCGGAAUGCUUUACACAUGCAAGUCGAACGGCAGCACGGACUUCGGUCUGGUGGCGAGUGGCGAACGGGUGAGUAAUGUAUCGGAACGUGCCCAGUCGUGGGGGAUAACGUAGUGAAAAUUACGCUAAUACCGCAUACGAUCUAUGGAUGAAAGCGGGGGAUCGCAAGACCUCGCGCGAUUGGAGCGGCCGAUAUCAGAUUAGGUAGUUGGUGGGGUAAAGGCCCACCAAGCCAACGAUCUGUAGCUGGUCUGAGAGGACGACCAGCCAAACUGGAACUGAGACACGGUCCAGACUCCUACGGGAGGCAGCAGUGGGGAAUUUUGGACAAUGGGCGAAAGCCUGAUCCAGCCAUUCCGCGUGCAGGAUGAAGGCCCUCGGGUUGUAAACUGCUUUUGUACAGAACGAAAAGGUUUCUACUAAUACUAGGAGCUCAUGACGGUACUGUAAGAAUAAGCACCGGCUAACUACGUGCCAGCAGCCGCGGUAA